This 497-nucleotide ribosomal RNA is filed under the name uncultured bacterium. RNAcentral describes it as "partial 16S ribosomal RNA". It matches the Rfam family "Bacterial small subunit ribosomal RNA", at positions 28 to 507 of the family's 1533-position model. The record is from RNAcentral.
GAUGAACGCUGGCGGCGUGCCUAAUACAUGCAAGUCGAGCGAACGGACGAGAAGCUUGCUUCUCUGAUGUUAGCGGCGGACGGGUGAGUAACACGUGGAUAACCUACCUAUAAGACUGGGAUAACUUCGGGAAACCGGAGCUAAUACCGGAUAAUAUUUUGAACCGCAUGGUUCAAAAGUGAAAGACGGUCUUGCUGUCACUUAUAGAUGGAUCCGCGCUGCAUUAGCUAGUUGGUAAGGUAACGGCUUACCAAGGCAACGAUGCAUAGCCGACCUGAGAGGGUGAGCGGCCACACUGGAACUGAGACACGGACCAGACUCCUACGGGAGGCAGCAGUAGGGAAUCUUCCGCAAUGGGCGAAAGCAUGACGGAGCAACGCCGCGUGAGUGAUGAAGGUCUUCGGAUCGUAAAACUCUGUUAUUAGGGAAGAACAUAUGUGUAAGUAACUGUGCACAUCUUGACGGUACCUAAUCAGAAAGCCACGGCUAACUACGUG